Molecule: ribosomal RNA, 392 nt
Filed under: uncultured bacterium
Lineage: Bacteria
Description: partial 16S ribosomal RNA
Rfam family: Bacterial small subunit ribosomal RNA
Source: RNAcentral
AUACGUAUGUCGCAAGCGUUAUCCGGAUUUAUUGGGCGUAAAGCGCGUCUAGGCGGCUUAGUAAGUCUGAUGUGAAAAUGCGGGGCUCAACCCCGUAUUGCGUUGGAAACUGCUAAACUAGAGUACUGGAGAGGUAGGCGGAACUACACGUGUAGAGGUGAAAUUCGUAGAUAUUUGUAGGAAUGCCGAUGGGGAAGCCAGCCUACUGGACAGAUACUGACGCUAAAGCGCGAAAGCGUGGGUAGCAAACAGGAUUAGAUACCCUGGUAGUCCACGCCGUAAACGAUGAUUACUAGGUGUUGGGGGUCGAACCUCAGCGCCCUAGCUAACGCGAUAAGUAAUCCGCCUGGGGAGUACGUACGCAAGUAUGAAACUCAAAUGAAUUGGCGGGG